AGGAGAGUUGAGGUUGUUGCAAGAUUGAAGUCAUUGGAGGAAGGUGCGACAAACUGUUUGGUUGAAGCUCGAUAAAGUCAUGAAGGCAUUGCUGGAACAUAAGGCAGAAGGUCACCCGGAAAAUGAAGGUUUUUGGAGAUUUCAGGGCCGACCUCAGUUUCUUCAUAAUUGCGUAGAAGAUCAGAAUGUGGGAAGAGAUAUAAUUGUUCAUCGUGUUCGCAGGAACAUCAAAAAC
Molecule: long non-coding RNA, 235 nt
Organism: Spinacia oleracea (spinach)
Lineage: Eukaryota; Viridiplantae; Streptophyta; Magnoliopsida; Caryophyllales; Amaranthaceae
Exons: 3
Source: RefSeq, a predicted model, not a curated record